Long non-coding RNA from Daphnia pulex (common water flea), 514 nucleotides. RefSeq lists it as uncharacterized. The record is from RefSeq and is a predicted model, not a curated record. Lineage: Eukaryota; Metazoa; Arthropoda; Branchiopoda; Diplostraca; Daphniidae. The transcript has 4 exons.
GACCAAUCUCUCAUUCCAUCUUCUAGAGAAUCUUGGAUAACUGAUUGGUGCUUCCAUGUGUUCCUAAAUUGGCAUGACUGACUGAAUGAGAAGUUAUGUCCUUCAAGAAAAAGGGCUUACGGUCAACAAGAUUCCUUGUUUGCUAACCCAUUGGCUGCUACCCUUGAAUCUCCCUAUUUGUCAACAACAAAAAAAGAGGUUGAAUAUUGUGAUCAUGUUAUCAUCAUUACCAAUUGUGGGGCAUCUGGUUAUCCCUCCAAAAUAAGGCAAUGACCACACGUUCAACGCAGAUCAUUCGUUUUGUCAUCGAACUUGACUCAUUCCCUGUCAUUUAGGUAAUGACCGAGAAGAUGCGGCCUACAUGAACAUCAUUUAGGCGGCCAGCAUCGUUCGACUACUCAAUCGGCUUCUACUACCCUGCUCUCAACAUAGCAAGGAGUUUCACCCUUUAGAUUUUUGGCUGUUCGCGAUGUGUGAUGGCGUUUCCUUGGACGAGAUGAUGAUUUUGGUGAGA